UGGUAGUGUAUUGGACUACCAUGGCUUUAACGGGUAACGGAGGAUUAGGGUUCGAUUCCGGAGAGGGAGCCUGAGAAACGGCUACCACAUCUAAGGAAGGCAGCAGGCGCGUAAAUUACCCAAUCCUAAUUCAGGGAGGUAGUGACAAGAAAUAACGGACUGAGGCUUAUGCCUCAGGAUUGCAAUGAGUAGAAUUUAAACCCCUUUAUGAGGAUCAAUUGGAGGGCAAGUCUGGUGCCAGCAGCCGCGGUAAUUCCAGCUCCAAUAGCAUAUAUUAAAGUUGUUGCAGUUAAAAAGCUCGUAGUUGAACUUCUGGAGGAGUCCCAAUGUCGGCUUGAUGCUUGUGCAGCGGGGCUCUUCCAUCCUUCUGUUAACGUUUCACGGUAUUAACUUACUGGUUGCGGGCUCAGAUAUUUUACCUUGAGAAAAUUAGAGUGUUUCAGGCAGGCUUGCGCUUGAAUACAUUAGCAUGGAAUAAUAGAAUAGGACUUUAGUCUCCUUUGUUGGUUUGAGGGACUGGAGUAAUGAUUAAUAGGGACAGUUGGGGGCAUUAGUAUUUAAUUGUCAGAGGUGAAAUUCUCGGAUUUGUUAAAGACUAACUUAUGCGAAAGCAUUUGCCAAGGAUGUUUUCAUUAAUCAAGAACGAAAGUUAGGGGAUCAAAGACGAUCAGA
This 672-nucleotide ribosomal RNA is filed under the name uncultured ciliate. RNAcentral describes it as "SSU rRNA". It matches the Rfam family "Eukaryotic small subunit ribosomal RNA", at positions 326 to 1012 of the family's 1831-position model. Lineage: Eukaryota; Ciliophora. The record is from RNAcentral.